GUAGGGAAUAUUGGACAAUGGGGGGAACCCUGAUCCAGCCAUGCCGCGUGGAGGAAGACUGCCCUCUGGGUUGUAAACUCCUUUUAUAUGGGAAGAACCGUCCUCAUUAAUGAGUGACCUGACGGUACCAUAGGAAUAAGCACCGGCUAACUCCGUGCCAGCAGCCGCGGUAAUACGGAGGGUGCAAGCGUUAUCCGGAUUCACUGGGUUUAAAGGGUGCGUAGGCGGAUAAAUAAGUCAGUGGUGAAAUCAACGGGCUCAACCUGUUAACUGCCAUUGAUACUGUGUAUCUUGAAUAUGAGAGAGGUAGGCGGAAUGUUGCAUGUAGCGGUGAAAUGCUUAGAUAUGCUACGGAACACCGAUUGCGAAGGCAGCUUACUAUUUCGUAAUUGACGCUGAGGCACGAAAGCGUGGGUAGCGAACAGGAUUAGAAACCCGGGUAGUCC
Molecule: ribosomal RNA, 446 nt
Filed under: uncultured bacterium
Lineage: Bacteria
Description: bacterial SSU rRNA
Rfam family: Bacterial small subunit ribosomal RNA
Source: RNAcentral